This 494-nucleotide ribosomal RNA is filed under the name uncultured bacterium. Its description in RNAcentral is "partial 16S ribosomal RNA". It matches the Rfam family "Bacterial small subunit ribosomal RNA", at positions 28 to 507 of the family's 1533-position model. The record is from RNAcentral.
GACGAACGCUGGCGGCGUGCUUAACACAUGCAAGUCGAACGGAAAGUCCUGCUUUCCCUUGUGAAUUGCGGGUACUCGAGGGGCGAACGGGUGAGGAACACGUGAGUGAUCUGCCCCCAACUUGUGUAUAAGCCUGGGAAACUGGGUCUAAUUCCCGAUAGGACUUCAGGGUGGUGCCUGUGGUGGAAAACGUUUUUCUGGUGGAUGGGGAUGAGCUCGCGGCCUAUCAGCUUGUUGGUGGGGUAAUGGCCUACCAAGGCGGCUACGGGCAGCCGGCCUGAGGAGGCGGACCGCGUCAGUGGGACUGAGCAGCCGCACAGACACUUACGGACGGCAGAAGCGCGGACGGGUGGCAGAUGUGGGGAAGCCUGAACCAGCGACGAAGCGCGGAGGCUGACGGCCUUCGUGUGUUAAACUCCCUUCGGCGGCGUAGAACCCUCUUGGCUGGGAGGGUGGUGACGGUAGUGGCAGAAGAAGCACCGGCUAACUCCGUG